This 946-nucleotide long non-coding RNA is filed under the name Homo sapiens (human). Its description in RNAcentral is "non-protein coding lnc-ZNF511-1:2". The record is from RNAcentral. Lineage: Eukaryota; Metazoa; Chordata; Mammalia; Primates; Hominidae.
AACACAGAGAUGGAAAGACCGCACCCCCCCUCCCCCAGGACACAGAGAUGGAAAGACCACACCCCCUCCAGACGCAGAGAUGGAAAGACCACACCCCCCCCAGACGCAGAGAUGGAAAAACCGCACCCCGCCACACACAGAGAUGGAAAGACUGCACCCCCCCUUCCCAAGGACACAGAGAUGGAAAGACCGCACCCCACCCCAGACACACAGAUGGAAAGGCCUCACCCCCCCAGGACACAGAGAUGGAAAGACCACACCCUCCCUCCCCCAGGACACAGAGAUGGAAAGGCCGCACCGCCCCCAGGACACAGAGAUGGGAAGACCACACCCCCCCCCAGACACACAGAUGGAAAGGCCUCACCCCCCCAGGACACAGAAAAGACCACACCUCCCCCCCAGACACAGAGAUGGAAAGACCACACCCCCCCCCCAGACACAGAGAUGGAAAGACCACACCCCCCCCAGACACAGAGAUGGAAAGACCACACCCCCCCCCAGACACAGAGAUGGAAAGACCACACCUCCCCCCCAGACACAGAGAUGGAAAGACCACACCCCCCCCCCCAGACACAGAGAUGGAAAGACCACACCCCCCCCCAGACACAGAGAUGGAAAGACCACACCCCCCCCCAGACACAGAGAUGGAAAGACCACACACCCCGCCCAGACACAGAGAUGGAAAGACCACACCCCCCCCAGACACAGAGAUGGAAAGACCACACACCCCCAGACACAGAGAUGGAAAGACCACACACCCCCCCCAGACACAGAGAUGGAAAGACCACACACCCCCAGACACAGAGAUGGAAAGACCACACCCCCCCCCCAGACACAGAGAUGGAAAGACCACACCUCCCCCCCAGACACAGAGAUGGAAAGACCACACCCCCCCCCCCAGACACAGAGAUGGAAAGACCACACCCCCCCCCAGACACAGAGAUGG